Molecule: long non-coding RNA, 326 nt
Organism: Bos taurus (domestic cattle)
Lineage: Eukaryota; Metazoa; Chordata; Mammalia; Artiodactyla; Bovidae
Source: Ensembl
UCCCAGGUGCUAGUGGUAAAGAACCCACCUGCCAACGCAGGAGACAAAAGAGACUCGGGUUUGAUCCCUGAUCAGGAAGAUCCAGAGGAGGAAAUGGCAACCCACUCCAGUAUUCAUGCCUGAGAAUCCCAUGGACAGAGGAGCCUGGUACUCCAACUCUACACAGCAGAGGAAUGGAUAAUUUUUCUGUGACUGGGACCGGGAAGAAUCACUGUGACACCCAGCCAGCUCUGCUCAGACCAUUUCUCAUCCCAAAAGCUGUCAACACAGGAAGUUAACCUUAAUGGCCCGUGAAUCCUUCUAUCAUCUGCUGCCCUCUAGUGGAG